Molecule: ribosomal RNA, 495 nt
Filed under: uncultured bacterium
Lineage: Bacteria
Description: partial 16S ribosomal RNA
Rfam family: Bacterial small subunit ribosomal RNA
Source: RNAcentral
AUGAACGCUGGCGGCGUGCCUAAUACAUGCAAGUCGAGCGAACGGACGAGAAGCUUGCUUCUCUGAUGUUAGCGGCGGACGGGUGAGUAACACGUGGAUAACCUACCUAUAGACUGGGAUAACUUCGGGAAACCGUAGCUAAUACCGGAUAAUAUUUUGAACCGCAUGGUUCAAAAGUGAAAGACGGUCUUGCUGUCACUUAUAGAUGGAUCCGCGCUGCAUUAGCUAGUUGGUAAGGUAACGGCUUACCAAGGCAACGAUGCAUAGCCGACCUGAGAGGGUGAUCGGCCACACUGGAACUGAGACACGGUCCAGACUCCUACGGGAGGCAGCAGUAGGGAAUCUUCCGCAAUGGGCGAAAGCCUGACGGAGCAACGCCGCGUGAGUGAUGAAGGUCUUCGGAUCGUAAAACUCUGUUAUUAGGGAAGAACAUAUGUGUAAGUAACUGUGCACAUCUUGACGGUACCUAAUCAGAAAGCCACGGCUAACUACGUG